GCUCCGGUGGCCAAGUAGUUAGAGCGUCCGCCUUGAAUGCGGGAGGUCGCAGGCUCGAACCCCGGCUGGGUCA
Potamilus streckersoni is the source of this 73-nucleotide non-coding RNA. Lineage: Eukaryota; Metazoa; Mollusca; Bivalvia; Unionida; Unionidae. The record is from the annotation of a GenBank genome assembly.